GAUGAACGCUAGCGGCAGGCUUAAUACAUGCAAGCCGAGGGGCAGCAGGUCCCGCAGCAAUGCGGGAUGCUGGCGACCGGCAAACGGGUGCGGAACACGUACAGAACCUUCCUUUAAGUGGGGAAUAGCCCGGGGAAACCCGGAUUAAUACCCCGUAACAUAAUGAAGUGGCAUCACUUUAUUAUUAUAGCAGCAAUGCGCUUGAAGAUGGCUGUGCGGCUGAUUAGGUAGUUGGCGGGGGAACGGCCCACCAAGCCUACGAUCAGUAACUGGUGUGAGAGCACGACCAGUCACACGGGCACUGAGACACGGGCCCGACUCCUACGGGAGGCAGCAGUAAGGAAUAUUGGGCAAUGGACGCAAGUCUGACCCAGCCAUGCCGCGUGGAGGAUGAAGGUCCUCUGGAUUGUAAACUUCUUUUAUCUGGGAAGAAAUCUAUUUUUUCUAAAGUAGUUGACGGUACCAGAUGAAUAAGCACCGGCUAACUCCGUGCCAGCAGCCGCCGCAG
RNAcentral lists this ribosomal RNA (508 nucleotides) under uncultured bacterium. RNAcentral describes it as "partial 16S ribosomal RNA". It matches the Rfam family "Bacterial small subunit ribosomal RNA", at positions 28 to 523 of the family's 1533-position model. The record is from RNAcentral.